RNAcentral lists this ribosomal RNA (374 nucleotides) under uncultured organism. Its description in RNAcentral is "bacterial SSU rRNA". It matches the Rfam family "Bacterial small subunit ribosomal RNA", at positions 526 to 896 of the family's 1533-position model. The record is from RNAcentral.
CGGGGGGAGCAAGCGUUGUUCGGAUUUACUGGGCGUAAAGGGCGCGUAGGCGGCCUCUGCAAGUCGACUGUGAAAUCUCCGGGCUUAACCCGGAACGGUCAGCCGAUACUGCAGGGCUGGAGUGCAGAAGGGGCAACUGGAAUUCUCGGUGUAGCGGUGAAAUGCGUAGAUAUCGAGAGGAACACCUGCGGCGAAGGCGGGUUGCUGGGCUGACACUGACGCUGAGGCGCGAAAGCUAGGGGAGCGAACGGGAUUAGAUACCCCGGUAGUCCUAGCCUUAAACGAUGAAUGCUUGGUGUCUGGGGUUUUAUAGUCCCCGGGUGCCGUCGCUAACGCUUUAAGCAUUCCGCCUGGGGAGUACGGUCGCAAGACUG